This is a long non-coding RNA of Triticum dicoccoides, 2501 nucleotides long. RefSeq lists it as uncharacterized. The record is from RefSeq and is a predicted model, not a curated record. The transcript has 5 exons. Lineage: Eukaryota; Viridiplantae; Streptophyta; Magnoliopsida; Poales; Poaceae.
UCCCCCUUCCUCCGUCUCAUUCCCCUCGUCCCUGGUGGCGGCACACCACUCGUAUCUUCCUCUCUCCACCAAACACGAGCUCCUCUCCCCCGCACCACUCCUCGCCGCCACCACCACCACCACCUAUGGCGCCCGAUCCCGUCCUCUAGUGGCGCCGAGCUCACCACGGUGACCCCAUCCCUCCGCUCCUUCCUCUCAUCGGGCCAGAUCGGGCGCGCGCGUCCUCCAGUGGCCAAGCGCGACCCCCGAUUCAGCAGGCCCGCCGCCCGCGCCCGCGCGCCACCACCCGCUCCUCCUCGCCUCCCAUAGGACGCAGACCCCACGCCACUCUUCCUCCGCCCACCGACCCACCCCGUCCCUGAUGCCUCACUCGCCGCCUUCCGCCGCAGGGCCGCCGCGCUCGUCCCGUCCUUGGUGCUGCACCUCCACCGCCACCUCCGCUGGCUCCUCGCCAACGCCCCCGCCUCGUGCACGAGCGUCCGGAGCACGUCGUCCACCCCGCGCAUGCGGCGCUCGACACGCUCGACGUCUUCGAUAUGGAGCAGGACAUCAAGGACCCGGAGCACCCCUACUCGCUGGAGCACAUACGAUGUGUGCUCUCCCAGGAGUGUGAGGAGGAGCCUGUGGCUGAGACUGCAUCGGGACAGAUGCUGCAACCCAUCACAGCGAAUUCCUCGGCCUCUGUUACGGCCGAUGCAGCAGUUACUCAGGACACCAUUCAUACCUCGCUUCCACUUCUACAUUUUCUUUCUCUGUUCUAGUUACUUAUGUGAUUUAUUCAUGUAGAAUCUCUACUUUAUGCCAAUAGCUGCCUGUACCAUUGUUCUACUAUCUGUGUGAUGCCGAACAACAUGCUCUUAAUCUAUUGCUAAAUUCUGUGUACUUGUGACGUAGCUGACAUGUAGAAUCUCUACUUAAUAUGCCAAUAGUUGACGUGUAUUAUGUGCCAACAUGCCAAUUGUUGCUGCUGUAUUCUGUGUACUUGUGAUGUACUCCGUAGCUGACAUGUGGAAUCUCUACUUAAUAUGCCAAUAGCUGACAUGUAGAAUCUCUAGUUAAUAUGUUCUACCAGUAUUAUGUGCUUUCUAUCCUGCAAUGCUAUCGGGGUACUGCAAUUGUUGCUGCUGUAUUCUGAUUACUUGUUGUGACUAGUAUUGAGAGAUUUUGGUGGUUGCUUUCAGUAUAUUUAACUUGGAGUUCUCCAGUACUCCUAGAUUUGCUACUCAAACAAAUUUUGAGUACUUUCAUUGGAAAGGAGUGAAAUACUCCUGGUACUUGCAUAGGUUUAAAAAUUACUUGCAUAGGUUUAAAAAUAUUGAUGGUACUUGUGAUGAAACCAACAAGCAACUUGCUAACCUCUUUCAGUGUUCAAUCAUCUUUUCAUUCUUAAAUUUUAGUGUUCAAUUUCAGAUUAUACAAACUGGUGUCUGUUGUUCUUUUUCUUUUUUGAACUAAACUAGAAGUAGGAAUUCAUUUUAUCGGGUUAGUGUUGUAAAUUGUGGAUGCUUCCUUUUUGUUAUUGGCUUAUUACUUGCUUGAUUUGGGACAUCUACAACUGAAAUUAUUAUGAUGCCAUAUUUUUUAUAUUACUCCAUGCUCACCAAGUUAUUGAGUUGAAGUUGUCGUUGUUUGCUGUCAAGAUUUGCUUAUCCUGAAUACAUGGUUAUGUUUUGUGUACUGCUGUCCUGAUGUUGAGCUGUUCAAUUUCACUGUUGUACCGCUGUCAAGAUCCUGCUGUACCGCUAUUCAGUUUCAGUUAAAUUUCAGUACUGUUGGAGUAAAUUUCGCUGUUCGAUGAUUGUACUCCAGUGUUCAAUUUUCGCUGUUCAAUGAUUGUACUCCAGUGUUUAAUUUCCUGAUUGAGUAAAUUUCAAUGUUCAAUUUCAGUAAAAGCAGUACAUGUACCAGCGGCAGCAGCUCCUGUGGCAGCGGCGGUAGCACCUGGGCAGGCGUGGAACAGCCUGGGCUUGGAAUGGCCUGAGCGCGGGCCAGGAGGAGCCCCUGCGUGUGGGCGGCAGCAGAGCACGCCUGGGCGGAGGCGGCGCCUACUCUACUUGCUUGGCUACUACAGUGAUGCAUGCACCGGUGAAGCACGCACACAUGCUUGCUUGUCCGCAUGUAUCUUCAUUGCUACAAACAUCAUCUAGAUGACAAGCUACAAGCUCCCAGCGCGUCUGAUCCAGGGUGCAUUAGGGCCAACCUGUUACGGAAGAUGGCCAUGCUCACGAGCCCCUCUGGAUCAAAAUAGAUGGCAAAUUGUGGCAGCUGGAGCAUGUCUCACUAGAGAGAGCAAUGAAAUCCAUUGUAUUGUUCCGUCAAAACAAAAGUACAUUGUACUGUUAUGAUAGUAGCAGAAGUUUCGUCAUUUUCUUAUUGUAUAUUCCCUUCGUUCCUACUAUAUUCCUGUGUAAGGAAAUGUAUUCCUGAGAUGAUUUUUUGUGUUAUGUAAACUUGGGAGAUGUGUUAUGUGAUGUGAUAUGAUGGUUGACUUGAAUUUGACC